UGGGCCGCGGCCCCGGGCGUGCUGCGGGAAAAGAGGGCAGCUCGCGGCAGUUCUCGUGGCUGCGGGCCUGCCUGCUGCUUACGUCAGGAAACCGCUCGCCCAGUCACGCUGUGCUUUACAGGCUGCCAGCUUUACUGUGACAGUCACUGCAGAAAGAAUUGCUGUUCUGCUUGAGGAACAUCAGAGUGCAAGGGCAGAGAACAAGGGUAUCGGUGUCCUACAGACACCUUCUGUUCUCUAAUGAUCACUUCCAGCCUGGCCAUGCAAGAAUCCAACCCCCCAGUGUUGAGCAACUCCAGUUGGAGAGUACAACCCAAAGGAAGCAUAACCCAUGCUCACCCUGUGAGGAAGCACAUAACUGCUGUCUUUCUCUGGCUGUAGUUUUAAAGAUCCAUGUUAGGGGUACAACCCCUGGAUGGAUGCUGGACGUCGAUGCCGAGUUCCUUCCACAAGGAGCCAGCUGUAGGAGUGGGAAUGCAGCACUUCUUCACAAGUGUAGUUGUGCUUCAACACAACUGCCCUGUAAUACAGCUAAUUUCACUCUAAAAGCCAAAAUUCGUGAGGCAGCUGAGAAGAUCUAGUUAUCGCUACAACCAACAAGCACGGGCCUGUUCUUCCAAUCCUUUUCACAAGUUCACCUCCUCCUAGCUUGUGCUUGUGCUGCUUUGGUGGCACUAGCAAUGGUCAGUAAUCUAUUCUGCAGGUAAACCAAGCUGAUAUAAAAGUGGAGGGGAGUAAUUAUUUGCUAGUCUGGUGAGCUGAAUUAGCUCACUAAGUUGUGAGAUGAUUAUCAAAGCUCUAUGAAAGCUGGCACAAGGGAAAGUCUGGUGACUGCAAAGCUGAAAGUGAGGAGAGGAGACUAGGAUUGUGCUUUCUAUGAAAUGCUGUUGCUGGGUCAUACAGGCAUCAGCAAAUGUCACAGCUGAAAUUCAAUGCAAAGAGAGACAGAGAGAAAAGAGAGAGGAAUGUGAAUGUCACCUCUUUGGGAGACAGGAAAUCUUCAGAUCAGCUGCUAAAGCUGUAAAUCACAUCUAUUUUUCCUCUUAAGGGAAGUUUUCUUCAAUCAAGGCGUCACUGUGGUGAAUAUUAGCUCAGAAAAAUAGUUUGCUACAGGGCAGAUCUGUAUUGUCAAUUGUAUUAAUGUUCCAGCCAACAGACACUGCACUUUUAUUGCCACGUGCAUAUACAAUAAAAGUUUGAAUACAAAUAAACCUCCAAUAUAUAACUAAUAAAAGAUGUGUAGCAUUAAUAUUUUUAUAAAGAUGAAUCACACAAUGCACUCCUCUUCUGGACUUUAAACAAACCAAAUUUAUCUUACAUUACAUGGAUUUUGCUUCCCUUUCACAGCAUAAAUAUGUAGCUUUAAGUUUGUGUCAACUCUAACUGCCAUCGGUAGGAGACUCGUGUUCCUUCUUUCUGCUGUUUCUGCAUGUAAACAAUGCAAACAUUCAAGUAACCUCUGCGAGAAAAUUAUUCAAGGCAAAUCACAUUUCUAAACUUUAAUAUCACAGGGACACAACGGUGUAAAUUGCUGCCCUCUUAAAACAUCUUUGCCAAAAAUUGUCUCUGCAAAAAGAGGAGCAUAGCAAGGUGUGAAUCUUAUCCUGAUAGCAACUGUUACUUGAUUGAGGUGCUAAAUGUGAAAGCCGUUAUUUUAACUCUGAACAAGA
Molecule: long non-coding RNA, 1670 nt
Organism: Aquila chrysaetos chrysaetos
Lineage: Eukaryota; Metazoa; Chordata; Aves; Accipitriformes; Accipitridae
Exons: 3
Source: RefSeq, a predicted model, not a curated record